Non-coding RNA from Candidatus Buchananbacteria bacterium, 87 nucleotides. The record is from Rfam. NCBI's taxonomy places the organism in Bacteria, Candidatus Buchananiibacteriota.
GGAGGGUUGGCAGAGUGGUCGAAUGCACCGGUUUCGAAAACCGGAGUACCUGUAAAGGUACCACAGGUUCGAAUCCUGUACCCUCCG